RNAcentral lists this transfer RNA (66 nucleotides) under Neodon medogensis. Its description in RNAcentral is "tRNA-Phe". It matches the Rfam family "tRNA". Rfam says of the family: Transfer RNA (tRNA) molecules are approximately 80 nucleotides in length. Their secondary structure includes four short double-helical elements and three loops (D, anti-codon, and T loops). Lineage: Eukaryota; Metazoa; Chordata; Mammalia; Rodentia; Cricetidae. The record is from RNAcentral.
GUUAAUGUAGCUUAAUAAAAGCAAAGCACUGAAAAUGCUUAGAUGGAUACAAGCAUCCCAUAAACA